This 306-nucleotide ribosomal RNA is filed under the name uncultured bacterium. RNAcentral's name for it is "bacterial SSU rRNA". It matches the Rfam family "Bacterial small subunit ribosomal RNA", at positions 28 to 335 of the family's 1533-position model. The record is from RNAcentral.
GACGAACGCUGGCAGCGUGCUUAACACAUGCAAGUCGAGCGGUAAGGCCCUUUCGGGGGUACACGAGCGGCGAACGGGUGAGUAACACGUGGGUGACCUGCCCUCAGCUCUGGGAUAAGCCUGGGAAACCGGGUCUAAUACUGGAUAUGACUCCAUGACGCAUGUUGUGGGGUGGAAAGCCUUGUGCGGCUGAGGAUCGGGCCCGCGGCCUAUCAGCUUGUUGGGGGGUGAUGGCCUACCAAGGCGACGACGGGUAGCCGGCCUGAGAGGGCGACCGGCCACACUGGGACUGAGACACGGCCCAGA